This 241-nucleotide ribosomal RNA is filed under the name uncultured bacterium. RNAcentral describes it as "partial 16S ribosomal RNA". It matches the Rfam family "Bacterial small subunit ribosomal RNA", at positions 30 to 278 of the family's 1533-position model. The record is from RNAcentral.
UUGAACGCUGGCGGCAUGCCUUACACAUGCAAGUCGAACGGUAGAGGGGCAACCCUUGAGAGUGGCGAACGGGUGAGUAAUAUAUCGGAAUGUGCCCAGUCGUGGGGGAUAACGCAGCGAAAGCUGCGCUAAUACCGCAUACGAUCUAUGGAUGAAAGCGGGGGAUCGCAAGACCUCGCGCGAUUGGAGCGGCCGAUAUCAGAUUAGGUAGUUGGUGGGGUAAAAGCCCACCAAGCCGACG